UGUGAGGGCCCAGUCCACGGUCAGGCACGGUGCUGCACACACUGCAAUCCCAGUUCCCGGGAGGUGAGGCAAGAUGGCUGAGUUCGAGGUCAGCCUGGGCUAUAGUGAGCUCGAGGGCAGCCUGACUAGCAAGACUCUUUCUCAAAAAGAAAAAAAAAGCCCCCAGUGCCACCUCCCCAAGCCUUACAUGGCUCUCACCAAGCCAUUUUACUUCUCUGCCUCAGUUUCUCAGUUUUCCCAGCUGUAGGAGAGAAAGAAAAAGCCAUCCACCCGGGACAGUGCCAUGAGGAAUGCCUAGGUGACAUCUAUCUACUGCUGAAGACGGUGAUUCAGAAAGACAGGCUGGCAUGUGGGCACCAACACAGGGCCAGGGGCCAGGCCCCAUUUGUCACAGCCCAACACCCUUCUGCAGGGAAGCAUGCAACUCAUCCUGGCCAGCUCAUGCCCUGAAAUGCUGCCCCACAGCGAGAGAACAGAGCUGCCUACGCUGUACGGUGCAGCCCUGCGUGCACUGCCGAGAAAGAAGCUGCAUGCGUGGGACUCUGCAGCUGCCGGUGCUCCGAGCUGGAGGUCGCAGGCAGAGGAGCUGGGGAGCGACGAGGAGCCGCGCUUGGUCCUCACUGCUGGGCCUGUCUGGGGUCUCGGUCCUGGCUGAGGCUCCUGGGCGUGCUUCCUUGAGCAUCCUGGGUCCCAUGGGCACAGCUUCUUCAAGAGUCCUGUGUCAGUGGAGGAUGGGCUACAAAACAGUCCCAGCGAGGCCCUUGGCUAUGCACUGAGGAGGACACACAACAGCUGGGGUAAAGAACCAGGCCUCUGUCCAGCCAGAGACCUCACACAUGAAGAUGGCAGGUUUCCAAAGACCCUCACCAGAGGACCCUCCAAGGAUCCAUUUUAAGGGCUCAAACAGACCAGCUUUCAAAAGAGGAGGGCCCCCUGCAGCCGACUCCCGGCCCCCACGCACCAGGGCCACUCAGCUCCAUGCCUCCCUGCCUUGAGGCAGGGUUCACAGCCUCAUUUAACAGAUGGAAAAACUGAGGCCCACGCAACACAGGCACUGGUCACCUCAGAAUCACAUGGCCAUUGAGUGAUGGAGAUGGACUUUUGUUCUUUUCAGCCUCUGCUUCUAAAGGGGGGCAGAGAAGGACCCCAAGAGUUCUGAGAAGGACAAGUCAGGAAGGAAUCUGGAGGCAGAGGCUUCCCCUGAGAUGGACCGCAGAUAACAUGAAUGCUGGGAAACCAGAUGAGGAAAGGGCAGCCUGGACAGUCGGGAAGCCCAGCCCGGGCUCAGAAAGGAAGCUUCUGUCCACUUCUUGUUCAUUUCACCCACCCGAGGCAGCCUCCUGUGGGCCUUCCGCAGGUCCUGCUUUCUCACCACUAAAUUGAGCAUGAUCUCUCUUUGUAGCUGUGAAGCCCACACCUGGGGCAUCCCUCCUGAGCCAGCUCGAUGCACCUCCCGGCUUCUCCAAACCCCACCGCCGCCUGUCCACCUCCUAGCCUUGGCCCAUGCUGCCCCUCCACCUGGGGUGCGCCUUACCCAACACAGAAACUCGAAUCCUGCUCACCCUUGGGAGUGACACCUCCUCUGGGAAGCCUUCCCUGAACCCCCUCCAUCCAGUGCCCCGCGGCAGCCAGCAGUGUCAUCUGUCACACUGUCAUAGCUUUCCGGGUCAGACUGGGGCCCUCAAGGAUCAGACAGAAGGAGAGGAGUCAGCCACCUCCUGGCCCAGAGCUGAUCUAAGGCACAGCUCAUAACACAGUGCAACCUCUCUAGGAGUACUGGGCUCCAUUGCUCUUCCGAAUUUGAAAAGCAGAGCAUUUGAGCAACAAGAUAAAUCAGCCUAAAAUUGCAACAACCAUGAAAUUAAUAAGCUGGGCAUGGUGACACACACCUAUAAUCUCAGCGCACGGGGAGACUGAGACAGGAGGGCCAAGUGUUCCAGCCUGCCAGGCAAAGUGCUGUACACCUGUAACCCUGGCACUCUGGAGGCUAAGGCAAGAGGAUCGAUGCAGAGUUCAAGGUCAGCCCAGGUUACAGAGUGAGUUCAAGGCAGCGUGACUCUGUCUCCAAAAAUAUAAUAAAAUAUAAAAGAGUUACAACCCAACCUGGGCAAUUUAGGGGGCUCUGUCUCAAAACAAAAACAAAGGGCUGGGGAUGCAGCUCAGUGCCAAGUUCCUGAGUUCAAUUCCCAGCAGUGUGUAAAUAAAUAAAUACCCAUGAGUUCCUCCAAAAAA
This is a long non-coding RNA of Cavia porcellus (domestic guinea pig), 2232 nucleotides long. RefSeq lists it as uncharacterized. NCBI's taxonomy places the organism in Eukaryota, Metazoa, Chordata, Mammalia, Rodentia, Caviidae. The transcript is spliced from 2 exons. The record is from RefSeq and is a predicted model, not a curated record.